CCUAGGUGCUUGCAUCUUGAUUUAAUUUUGAACGAGUGGCGGACGGGUGAGUAACACGUGGGUAACCUGCCCUUAAGUGGGGGAUAACAUUUGGAAACAGAUGCUAAUACCGCAUAAAUCCAAGAACCGCAUGGUUCUUGGCUGAAAGAUGGCGUAAGCUAUCGCUUUUGGAUGGACCCGCGGCGUAUUAGCUAGUUGGUGAGGUAACGGCUCACCAAGGCAAUGAUACGUAGCCGAACUGAGAGGUUGAUCGGCCACAUUGGGACUGAGACACGGCCCAAACUCCUACGGGAGGCAGCAGUAGGGAAUCUUCCACAAUGGACGCAAGUCUGAUGGAGCAACGCCGCGUGAGUGAAGAAGGCUUUCGGGUCGUAAAACUCUGUUGUUGGAGAAGAAUGGUCGGCAGAGUAACUGUUGUCGGCGUGACGGUAUCCAACCAGAAAGCCACGGCUAACUACGUGCCAGCAGCCGCGGUAAUACGUAGGUGGCAAGCGUUAUCCGGAUUUAUUGGGCGUAAAGCGAGCGCAGGCGGUUUUUUAAGUCUGAUGUGAAAGCCCUCGGCUUAACCGAGGAAGUGCAUCGGAAACUGGGAAACUUGAGUGCAGAAGAGGACAGUGGAACUCCAUGUGUAGCGGUGAAAUGCGUAGAUAUAUGGAAGAACACCAGUGGCGAAGGCGGCUGUCUGGUCUGUAACUGACGCUGAGGCUCGAAAGCAUGGGUAGCGAACAGGAUUAGAUACCCUGGUAGUCCAUGCCGUAAACGAUGAAUGCUAGGUGUUGGAGGGUUUCCGCCCUUCAGUGCCGCAGCUAACGCAUUAAGCAUUCCGCCUGGGGAGUACGACCGCAAGGUUGAAACUCAAAGGAAUUGACGGGGGCCCGCACAAGCGGUGGAGCAUGUGGUUUAAUUCGAAGCAACGCGAAGAACCUUACCAGGUCUUGACAUCUUUUGAUCACCUGAGAGAUCAGGUUUCCCCUUCGGGGGCAAAAUGACAGGUGGUGCAUGGUUGUCGUCAGCUCGUGUCGUGAGAUGUUGGGUUAAGUCCCGCAACGAGCGCAACCCUUAUGACUAGUUGCCAGCAUUUAGUUGGGCACUCUAGUAAGACUGCCGGUGACAAACCGGAGGAAGGUGGGGAUGACGUCAAAUCAUCAUGCCCCUUAUGACCUGGGCUACACACGUGCUACAAUGGAUGGUACAACGAGUUGCGAGACCGCGAGGUCAAGCUAAUCUCUUAAAGCCAUUCUCAGUUCGGACUGUAGGCUGCAACUCGCCUACACGAAGUCGGAAUCGCUAGUAAUCGCGGAUCAGCACGCCGCGGUGAAUACGUUCCCGGGCCUUGUACACACCGCCCGUCACACCAUGAGAGUUUGUAACACCCGAAGCCG
RNAcentral lists this ribosomal RNA (1382 nucleotides) under Lacticaseibacillus rhamnosus. RNAcentral's name for it is "bacterial SSU rRNA". It matches the Rfam family "Bacterial small subunit ribosomal RNA", at positions 63 to 1429 of the family's 1533-position model. The record is from RNAcentral. Lineage: Bacteria; Bacillati; Bacillota; Bacilli; Lactobacillales; Lactobacillaceae.